CGCGUAGGCGGCAUAUUAAGUCAGCUGUGAAAUCUCCGAGCUUAACUCGGAACUGUCAGCUGAUACUGAUGUGCUAGAGUGCAGAAAGGGCAAUCGGAAUUCUUGGUGUAGCGGUGAAAUGCGUAGAUAUCAAGAGGAACACCUGAGGCGAAGGCGGGUUGCUAGGCUGACACUGACGCUGAGUGCGCGAAAGCCAGGGGAGCAAACG
Molecule: ribosomal RNA, 208 nt
Filed under: uncultured bacterium
Lineage: Bacteria
Description: partial 16S ribosomal RNA
Rfam family: Bacterial small subunit ribosomal RNA
Source: RNAcentral